This 257-nucleotide long non-coding RNA is filed under the name Medicago truncatula (barrel medic). RNAcentral's name for it is "long non-coding RNA (MTRU_LNC001601)". Lineage: Eukaryota; Viridiplantae; Streptophyta; Magnoliopsida; Fabales; Fabaceae. The record is from RNAcentral.
UAUAGGAAAAAGUUGGUGGUUAAUUUGUUAGGCAGAAACCAAGUGAUUGAAAUCAAGUGGUUAAUGACUUGAGAGAAUCCGAGCUCGAAUUCUGACUUGAACAAUUCUUAACCAGACUUUUACCUUUCGAACAUCAGAUUACCAGGCCCCUGCAAAGAGAAAUUUUGUUUGCAUCAGGAUCGAACUCUGGAUCUCCAUCUUAAUACUCCUUAUUCGCCUUCUUAAUUUUCGUAUCUUUUAUUACAUUUUUACCUCAG